ACAACAGGAAGUAAUCAGGAAGCAAAAAGGCCUCCUGACCUAAGCUUCCUUCCUGGGCACAAAGUCUUCCUGCCCUGCCAAUAUGGCAGCCUCCAGCCAGAUGGGGCAGCACAGCUGGUCCCAGCACAGUGGACUAGAACAGGGGUGUGAGGACUGUCCGACUGGGAGGUGUGUCACCAUACUGACUGCCAGGGUUGAUGCUACUGAUCUGGCUCAUUAGGAGGGUACCCGCUUCCUCCGUCGAGGUGGCUCCAUGUGUGUCUCUCCUGAAGCUGUGUGCAUGGUGGAGAAGGAAGACUUUCCCUGAGAGACGAGGACAGAUCUUCCAUCAAGGGGCAAGCAGGCAGCUGUGCUCCUCUACUGGAACCUUCAGACAACCUCUCCAGGGUGUAAACUGGCUGGCUAACAACUUUACGUUAAUAAUAGUAGAGACUGGGCGGUGCUCUGGUACUAACGUGGGUUUUACCCUUUGGUUUUCUCUUUUUAACAAUGGCUUUUGGGAAAUGUGUAUUUCUGGAGAGCUGUGUAGAUAUUAGUCAGCUCACUAAUCUGGGCAGCCACCCUGUGGAGUAGACACUGCCACGUACUGAAGGUGAGAAAAUGGAGACCACACAGUCACCCAGAAACAGAAAGGCAGGUCUGGGGCCAGACACCAGGGUCUCAGAGUCCAGCCCUGGGUCCUUGGAUGCCUGGGAGUCCUGCCCCAGGAACAGCAGAGCACUGCCCACUCGGUGUCCACUGUCAGCAGAACCAGUGGUUAAAGGAUGAGACGGAAGUGCUGGCGAAGGGGACCUAAUCCAGCACACAGUGAAACCUUCAUCCCUGCUGCAUCUUACCCCACCCCUUUCCAUCAGGGAACCAGGCCUUUCCACCGAGUGACAGUUUGGAGAGAGAGGGUGGGAUUCUGCCCUCUCCCUGGAGUACAAUUGUACUAAGAGGCUCCUCUGUGCUAUCCAAAGAAAUGUUAUGACAGCGAUGGUGUUGGGUUGGGUGAACAUCGUUGUGUAAGCCCCCACACAUGACCAGAUGAUAAGCUGAAAGCAUGCAGGGUGUCUUUACCUGAGCUUCCCAGCAUCCCUACAAAUACCUCAAACAAGACCUUGGUAAAGUCAGACCCUCGUGGGCACAGGGGGCCUUCAGCCAGUGUGGCUUCAAAGAAAGGCAGCAGGAUGACAAUCCCUACCCUGAAAGACACAGCACAUCCUCAGCACUAGGAGACAUUGAGGAGGCCAUGACUUCUCAGGAAGUGGCUUGUCACAAAUGUGACACAGCCUUCCUGGUCACUGUCCCCAAGCAGCUGAGUUCACACAUGUCCAAUGUGCCACUCUGAGCUACAUGCAUGUUCCUUGCCUUUGUUUUUCCUUGUUUGCUUUUCUGAGACAAGACUUUGACUGUAGACCAGGCUGGCCCAUCCUUUACCAGCCAAGCAUCAAGACUGCCAGCAUGCUGCCAUACCUGAUUACACUGUUUCUGAGAAAAACAUUCCUCCAUUUGUCAUAUGAUUAAGGUGUCACAUUUACCCUUAACAAACCUGUCACUUGCCAGGUGAGUCACCAGGGCACGAUGACCUGCUGGGCAUGCCUCCUUGAGUGGUUCCUGGGGUACAGGUCCAGAGGCCGGGGUGCACUGGCAGGGUGUGUCCAGCCUCAUGCUUUUCAACCCACUCUAUUUGCCUUGAGUAGUACCGUGUGGCUUCUCUUCAUUGCUUCUCAAAACUCUUGCUUCAAAGAUGCUGACUUGGACGGGCACUCCAGCAGGGAGCUGAUCCCAGGCCAGGGGAGUUAGACCAGCCUGGGCUACAAGACCUUGUUUGGAAAAGGAAAACUGAAUACUACCCCCAUUGCAAUGACUCGAGUACUGGAAACAGCAUUCCGAUCAUCCUUGUCAUGUGACUUCACAAGAGCAUCCAGGUGCUUCCUGCAAUCAAUCUCUGGAGUCUGUGUCACCGAGUGUGCCUGCUGUCUGUGUCACCAUGUGUACUUGCCCUGCCUGGCAGAGCACAGCUGUGCUCUGAACAUCUAUGCUUCUCCAAGAUUUGACAAGAUGGCUGAAGCUGAGCCCCAAGGUGAAGUCAUGUAGAUGUGGGGCCUUUGGGAUGUGAUUAGGUCAUUGAGAACACCACCCUGUGACCAGAGCCCUGUGAAAGAGGCUGGUGGGACACUGGCGCUUCUUCCACCCAUGUGAGGACGCACGAAAGACAUUUAAUUUAGAAGCCAACUAUGACAGGACUGAGCAGGGUGACGUUUUCACGAUCUGUGACUAUACCAGGAAAACAUACAAUCACACCUUUAAACAUGAAUGUGAAUUGAUUGUUAAAAAGAAUGCUAGAGCGGCUGCAGUAAGUCCAGCUAAGCGAACUUCGAGACAAAGAAAACAGCUGAGGACAAAGGAACUGAAGUGUGAUGAUUCAGGGUAAGCUCAUUAGGAAGCUGUGACCAUAAACAUGUACGCGCCUCACAGCAGUGCUUCAGAAUACAUGUGCAGUCGGAGGGAGGGAGGCAGGCAAACUCUACAGCUAUGCUUAGAGAGUUCACUGCUUCUUGCUCCUUAACUGAUAAAAGAAACACACAAGAAACCGUUGACAUCUUAGCUGCUCUUCUGUUGCUGUGAUAAGACACCAUGACCAAGGCAACUUAAUAGAGAAAGCAUUUGAUUGGAGUUGGGUUCCAGGGGGUUAGAGUCAAAGACAGGGCAGCUAGGAGUUCCCUUCUCAGUCACAAAUGAGGCAGAGAGCACUUUGGGAAUGGUCAAAGGCUCUUGAAACCUCAAAUCCCACCCCUGGUGACACACCUCCUCCAACAAGGCCACACUUCUUAGUCCUUCAUAAACAGUUCCAAAGACUGGGCACCAAGUAUCCGGACAUAUGAGCCUGUGGAGGUCAUGCACAUUCACAGCAGAACAACUGAAGACUAAACAGCACUAGCAAGUUGACCCAGGCAACAUUUGGAGAGUGUUCCACCCAACAAAGGCAAUUCCUUGUCAAAUUUAUAUGGAUUUUCUCGAGACAGACUUUAUCUUGAGUCACAUGAUUAAGUUUUAACACAUUUGAAAGUAACUGCAGUCCUGGGACCCCAUCUGUCUGGAGGUAGAUGCAAGAGCAUCAAGGGUUCAAGGUCAUCUCCAGCUACAUAAUAAAGUUGAGGCUAGCUUAUGCUGCAUGGGUCCCAUCUCAAAUAAAUACUGAAAUUAUGUAAUGUAUGUCCUCUAAGCAUAAUUUAUGGGGUUAAGUUAGAAUCAAUGACAAAAGGAUAUUUAGAAAAUCCCCUAAAUAUUUGGAAAUUAAGCAACAUACUUCUAAAUAAUCCCUGAGCCAAAAAGUCAGUCACAAGAGAAACUAUAAAAUGUUUUGAAUGGAAUGAAAAUGAAAACACAACUUAUCAAAAUGUGUGGGCCUCAGAGAAGCCAGCACUGACAGGGAAGUUGACAGCAUCAAAGGUUUGUGUCAGGAAAGGAAACCGUUUUCAAAUAAACGCCUAAACUUACCCCUUCAGAAACUAGAAAAAAGUGCAAACCAAACCCAAUGGAAGCAAAGUAAGGGGGAUUAAACAUAAAUAGACAAAACAGGAAACAGAAAAGACAUGACACCAAAAGGAAAGCUGUUUGUUUUCUGUUUGUGCUGCCUGAGACUAAACCCAGGGUGCUGUGUGUGUUAGAAAGGGGCUAUGCGGAGCCACAUCUCCAGGCCCCAAGAGCCCAUUCCUUACAAUGUAUCAAACCUCGAGUGCAGCGCACGCCUUUAAUUCCAGCACUUCAGAGGCAGAAGCACGUGGAUGAGGCCAGGUCUACAGGGUGACUUUCAGAUCAGCCAGGAGGAGGACAUCGAGAGAACCUGUCUCAAAAGAAAAAAAAAAAAAGAAAACUUUAAUAAUGACCAGAUUGAGGGAAAAGAAAAGAAAUAGGUCAGAAAUCACCAAAAUGAAAGCUGUCAUAAAUGCCCCAGAGACAGUAGUCAGGAAUGUUACCAACAAUUCUACCGUGCACUUACCAAUUUAGAUGAAACUGUGUUAUUUCUUUUGUUGUUGUUUUGUUUUUCAAGACAGAAUUUCUUUGAGUAGGCCUGGCUGGAAAUUGAUUUAUUUCUAUACACAACUCAGGAUGAAGCAGAUGACUUAAGCAGUCUUCUUUCUAUUAAAGGAACCCAAUACAUCCAAUUUUCUUUUUGAAAUCCUCUGGAAAGGAAAUCCCGAGGCCUAGAGAGGUGGC
This is a long non-coding RNA of Mesocricetus auratus (golden hamster), 4203 nucleotides long. RefSeq lists it as uncharacterized. The record is from RefSeq and is a predicted model, not a curated record. The transcript has 3 exons. NCBI's taxonomy places the organism in Eukaryota, Metazoa, Chordata, Mammalia, Rodentia, Cricetidae.